GCACAUCCUCUAAACCGGCCACAUCUCUUCUGGCUUCCUCCAUUUUCUUUGUGCGAACAUAGAGGAAGGAAAAUCUCGAUCAGCCAUCCGAAGCUGCGCUGUGCUUCGAGUCUUCGUGCAGCCACGCUCGGUCAAAACCUCAUCGCUGAAGACCCUGCAGUAGUUUCACGUUGACACAGCUGCUUCGUGUCUUCUCUCUCUCGCGGCCAGCAAAGCCGAAGCCGCACGCAUCCCGCUGCCACGAAGAAUUCUCCACUUCGGCUUGUCUUCAUCAGAGUCAAGGGAACUAGCAGCUUCUCCUCUUCCGUUGACUGAAGCAGCCCCAAAAUCCCACGGAGUAGCUGAAGACCAAAGCCAGCACCGAAGGAAGCCACCACCGUCUCUCUUCCACCGCGUGCCCACAAUCCGGUCAACGGCGUCCUCUCCUCCACCGUUUGUUGACCGAAGUUCCCACGCCUCUGCCGUCCAUGCGUCUGCCUCCGCAACUCCAUAUGCGGCCAGCAAAUUCCACCGAAGGAAUCCCAGAACCCCAGCGAAGCAACAGCAUCAUCGAAGCCGUGAGUCCACGGUCUUCAGCCGCGUGAGCAGCCGAAAGUCCAUCCCCUCGUCCGCGUAUCUUCAGCCCAAGACCAGGUUCCAUGCCCAGCGAAGCCAUCUCCAGUUGAGCUUGCUUCAGCCCAUCUGCAGAUGCAUUUCCAGCCCAGCAUCAAUUGGAUUGGAAGCCCAGCAAUUUCAGUCUUUCGGGCCCAGCAAAGACAGGCCCAAUUCAGUUUUAUUUCAAGCCCAUUUUCAGCAAUUGUAGUCUUUGAGCCCAGUUUUUGAAGCCCAAUCGCAGCUAGGCCCAAGUCCAAGAGCAAGCCCAUUCCAGUGCAAGAACAAAUCUCAUUUGGGUUGAGAUUUGUUGGGCCAAGCCUAAGGCCCGGUCCAAGCCCGCCGGUGUUGUCGAAAAUCCAAUUUCGGCCGCCGUCGUGUCGCCGUUGCGGUGAUUCGAUCUCCGCUUUUGUCAAGUGAGUUUUACUCACUAAAGCUUUCUUAGUUUGCUAAAUAUGCUUAGGGGUUGGUUAGAUUUAAUUAAAUGCAAUUAGGUGGUUAGAUUAGUUUAGAUCAAUUAAAUUAGAGACUUAAUGAUGCAUGUUAGGUGGUUAGAAAUAGACAUUAGCAAGUAGACAUGCCAUAUUAUUUAUGGAGCGAGUCUCGGUAAUUUUCCGGGCUUGUCUCGGUAUCCAAUUUGGCAUUAUGAGCCUAAAUUGGAUUUUUAUAAUUAUUUAUUUAAUUUUCGAAAUUAAUUAUUUAAUUAUUUAUUUUUCCGCAAAUUCAACCGGGAUGGCCGGUGACCGGAAUUUCGUGCUGAUUGUCGUGGUGCAGUCCAUUUAUUUAUUUGAGCUUUAUUUGGUGCUAAAGUAAUUUAUGAGUGAAUUUAAGAUUUAUUCUUGGAUUGAAUCUGGAGAGGGUCGGGUGGGACCGUAAAGCCACUAGUUCUUGAGAAGGUCGGGUGGGACCGUAAAGCCACUAGUUCUUGAGAAGGUCGGGUGGGACCGUAAAGCCACUAGUUCUUGAGAAGGUCGGGUGGGACCGUAAAGCCACUAGUUCUUGAGAGGGUCGGGUGGGACCGUAAAGCCACUAGUUCUUGAGAGGGUCGGGUGGGACCGUAAAGCCACUAGUUCUUGAAAGGGUCUAACUGAUAUGAAAUCGACUAGGUCGAUUCGAUCGAUGCUUCGAUCGGUGAUGUGAUUGUUUGAAUGCCUAUUGAACUGUACUAAUAUGCAGAUGGAAUCUGAGGCCAAGGUAAGUCCUCCAACUCGUGCCGUGUUUAAGCAGCCUAUAGUGUAUUGGCUUUCUAAUUGAGUCUUAGGGGGUAGGACUCGCUGAGACGUGGUCUCAUUGGUUAUUGAAUAACCAUUUCAGGACCCUAAGGAGAAGCUAAGGAAGAGGAACCUGAAGGGGAGAAAGACUUUUGAAGAAGAAGGCGAUCCUGAGAGGGAUCUUGAAUAUAACCCGGAUGUGGACUGAGAUCCCAUCCCUUUUGUAAACCCUGUCUUAGUAUAGAUAGGUGUGAGACAAGUAUGUUGUGAAUAGUAUUGUAAAUAUACUAUGAGUUGUGCUGUUAAUGAAAGUGUGG
Molecule: long non-coding RNA, 2119 nt
Filed under: Eucalyptus grandis
Lineage: Eukaryota; Viridiplantae; Streptophyta; Magnoliopsida; Myrtales; Myrtaceae
Description: long non-coding RNA (EGRA_LNC000238)
Source: RNAcentral